This 1242-nucleotide ribosomal RNA is filed under the name metagenome. RNAcentral's name for it is "bacterial LSU rRNA". It matches the Rfam family "Bacterial large subunit ribosomal RNA", at positions 1564 to 2816 of the family's 2925-position model. The record is from RNAcentral.
UGAAUACGAGAUGCUACGGCGUCGAAGCAGUCUAUGUCAUACUUCCAAGAAAAGCUUGCACUGUCAUAAACAAAUAAUGCCUGUACCAUAACCGACACAGGUGGGUAGGUAGAGUAUACUAAGGGGCGCGAGAUAACUCUCUCUAAGGAACUCGGCAAAAUGACUCCGUAACUUCGGGAGAAGGAGUGCCUUAUUUAUAAGGUUGCAAUAACAAGAUCCAAGCAACUGUUUACCAAAAACACAGGUCUCCGCUAAGUCGUAAGACGAUGUAUGGGGGCUGACGCCUGCCCAGUGCCAGAAGGUUAAAGAAGUUGGUUAGCAUCCGCGAAGCUGAUAACUGAAGCCCUGGUGAACGGCGGCCGUAUCGAUAACGGUCCUAAGGUAGCGAAAUUCCUUGUCGGGUAAGUUCCGACCCGCACGAAAGGCGUAAUGAUUUGGAUACUGUCUCGGAGAGGGGCUCGGUGAAAUAGACUUGUCUGUGAAGAUGCGGACUACCUGCACCAGGACAGAAAGACCCUAUGAAGCUUUACUGUAACCUGAAAUUGAAAUUGGACUUUACUUGCGCAGUAUAGGUGGGAGGCGUUGAGAAUAUUCUUGCGGGAUUAUUGGAGCCAUCAGUGAGAUACCACUCUUGUAAUGUUAGAUUUCUAACUUUGUAUCAUUAUCUGGUCAAAGAACAGUUACAGGCGGGCAGUUUGACUGGGGCGGUCGCCUCCUAAACGGUAACGGAGGCGCACAAAGGUUUCCUCUGAACGGGUAGAAAUCGUAUCUAGAGUGUAAAGGCAUAAGGAAGCUUGACUGUGAGACCUACAAGUCGAGCAGGGACGAAAGUCGGUCUUAGUGAUCUGACGGUGCUGAGUGGAAAGGCCGUCACUCAACGGAUAAAAGUUACUCUAGGAUAACAGGCUGAUCUCCCCCAAGAGUUCACAUCGACGGGGAGGUUUGGCACCUCGAUGUCGGCUCAUCGCAUCCUGGGGCGGUAGUACGUCCCAAGGGUUGGGCUGUUCGCCCAUGAAAGCGGUACGCGAGCUGGGUUCAGAACGUCGUGAGACAGUUCGGUCCAUAUCCGGUGUAGGCGUUAGAAUAUUGAGAGGAGCCUUCUUUAGUACGAGAGGACCGAGAAGGACAUACCUCUGGUGUACCAGUUAUCGUGCCAACGGUAAACGCUGGGUAGCUAUGUGUGGAGUGGAUAACCGCUGAAAGCAUCUAAGUGGGAAGCCCACCUCAAGAUAAGUAUUCUCA